Molecule: long non-coding RNA, 1801 nt
Organism: Cyprinus carpio carpio
Lineage: Eukaryota; Metazoa; Chordata; Actinopteri; Cypriniformes; Cyprinidae
Source: Ensembl
GGCACAACUCCUGCAGAAACUACUACUCCAGGCACAAUGACUCAAACUGCUACUUGGCACCACCACUGCAGAAACCACUAUCAUUGGCACCACUUGUGUGAAAAAAACUAUGAUAGAUACAGAUUCCUUAGAAUGUACCACCACUUGUACACACACUACCCUGUAGAAACUACUUCUGUAGAAACUACUACCCUUGGCGCAACUCCUGCAGAAACUACUACUCCGGGCGCAAUGUCUCAAACUGCUACUUGGCACCACUAUUGCAGAAACCACUAUCAUUGGCACCACUUGUGUGAUAAAAACAACUAUGACAGAUACAGAUUCCUUAGAAUGUACCACCACUUGUACACAAACUACUCUACAGAAACUGCUUCUGUAGAAACUACUACCCUUGGCACAACUCCUGAAGAAACUACUACUCCGGGCACAAUGUCUCAAACUGCCACUUGGCAACACUAUUGCAGAAACCACCAUCAUUGGCACCACUUGUGUGAUAAAAACAACUAUGACAGAUACAGAUUCCUUAGAAUGUACCACCACUUGUACACAAACUACUCUACAGAAACUACUUCAGUAGAAACUACUACCCUUGGCACAACUCCUGCAGAAACUUCUACCCUUGGCACAACUCCUGCAGAAACUACUACUCCGGGCACAAUGUCUCAAACUGCCACUUGGCAACACUAUUGCAGAAACCACCAUCAUUGGCACCACUUGUGUGAUAAAAACAACUAUGACCGAUACAGAUUCCUUAGAAUGUACCACCACUUGAAUACACACUACCCUGUAGAAACAACUUCCAUAGAAACUACUACCUUUGGCACAACUCCUGCAAAAACUACUACUCCAGGCACAAUGACUCAAACUGCUACUUGGCACCACCACUGCAGAAACCGCUAUCAUUGGCACCACUUGUGUGAUAAAAACAACUAUGACAGAUACCGAUUCCUUAGAAUGUACCACCACUUAUACACACACUACUCUGUAGAAACUACUACCUUGGGAACCACUUCAAUAGAAACAACUACUCUGGGCACCACUUCUAUGUAAACUACUUGCCCUACUACCCGAUUCUUUAGAAUGUACUACCACUUGUACAUACACUAGUACUCUUGCAACCCCGUAGCAGAUAGUCCUACAGUUUCAUCACUGUAGAAAUAUCAGCAUUGGUUAAUUCAACAGUAAUAGUAUUGUAAACAUCCACACAUGUAAUGACAACUGCUGGAACAACAAUCUUUGCUAUAUCUAUGUCUGGCAUAUUGUCUGCCUUUGAAUCCUUAGUUGCUGAAAUAUAACACUUCUACAGAAAAUAUUACCCUUGGCGCACUUUUUGUGGAAAGUACUAUUCUGGCCACCACUUCUGGAGAAAGUACCAUCUUUGACUCCACUUCUCCAGAAACAACUACCCUUGGCGCCACCUUGACUGAAACACUGUUCUGAAACUCUGCAAAAUUCUGCAUUGUAUCUGUGGAACAAGCAUACCAUUGAUCAUGCCACUUCUAACAAGAUAUACAAGAUGAGCAGAUUGUGGGCAAUGAGAUGAGGACAAGGUCUUGUGGUAUUCCCUAAAGACUGCUACUCUACUACAGAUACUGAUCUCUGCGCUCCUGCUUAGUAAAAUAGGAAUAUAAAUUAAUCAAUUUAAAGAUUUUCUUUUGACAAAUUGUAUAUUAAAAAUUAAUAUUUGCUGCAAUUGAUUUUUGAAAAUAUUUUAUGGUUUGUGUAAUGUAAAUGUCACUGUUAAAUGAAUAAAAGAAUUUCACUGAGGUGAUCAUGAAACAUUGUUUAUUAGGUACUAUAU